UUAUGGCUCAGGAUGAACGCUGGCGGCGUGCUUAACACAUGCAAGUCGAACGCUGAAGCUCCCAGCUUGCUGGGGGUGGAUGAGUGGCGAACGGGUGAGUAUCACGUGAGUAACCUGCCCUUGACUCUGGGAUAAGCCCGGGAAACUGGGUCUAAUACUGGAUAGGACUGGCCAUCGCAUGGUGGUUGGUUGAAAGCUUUUGCGGUUUUGGAUGGACUCGCGGCCUAUCAGCUUGUUGGUGGGGUAAUGGCCUACCAAGGCUUUGACGGGUAGCCGGCCUGAGAGGGUGACCGGCCACACUGGGACUGAGACACGGCCCAGACUCCUACGGGAGGCAGCAGUGGGGGAUAUUGCACAAUGGGCGCAAGCCUGAAUGCAGCGACGCCGCGUGAGGGAUGACGGCCUUCGGGUUGUAAACCUCUUUCAGUUGGGAAGAAGCCUUUCGGGGUGACGGUACCUUCAGAAGAAGCACCGGCUAACUACGUGCCAGCAGCGGC
This 497-nucleotide ribosomal RNA is filed under the name uncultured bacterium. Its description in RNAcentral is "bacterial SSU rRNA". It matches the Rfam family "Bacterial small subunit ribosomal RNA", at positions 17 to 518 of the family's 1533-position model. The record is from RNAcentral.